Molecule: ribosomal RNA, 258 nt
Filed under: uncultured archaeon
Lineage: Archaea
Description: partial 16S ribosomal RNA
Rfam family: Archaeal small subunit ribosomal RNA
Source: RNAcentral
UGACAUUAGACUACCCCGUAGUCCCAGCCGUAAACAAUGUGCGUUAGGUGUGUCGGUAACCACGCGUUACUGAUGCGCCGAAGAAGAAAUCGUGAAACGCACCACCUGGGAAGUACGGUCGCAAGGCUGAAACUUAAAGGAAUUGGCGGGGAGCACCACAACAGGUGGAGCCUGCGGUUUAAUUGGAUUCAACGCCGGACAUCUCACCGGAUAAGACAGCUGAAUGAUUGUCAAUCUGAAGGUUUACAUGACUAGCUG